RNAcentral lists this ribosomal RNA (497 nucleotides) under uncultured bacterium. RNAcentral describes it as "partial 16S ribosomal RNA". It matches the Rfam family "Bacterial small subunit ribosomal RNA", at positions 28 to 507 of the family's 1533-position model. The record is from RNAcentral.
GAUGAACGCUGGCGGCGUGCCUAAUACAUGCAAGUCGAGCGAACAGACGAGGAGCUUGCUCCUCUGACGUUAGCGGCGGACGGGUGAGUAACACGUGGAUAACCUACCUAUCAGACUGGGAUAACUUCGGGAAACCGGAGCUAAUACCGGAUAAUAUAUUGAACCGCAUGGUUCAAUAGUGAAAGACGGUUUUGCUGUCACUUAUAGAUGGAUCCGCGCCGCAUUAGCUAGUUGGUAAGGUAACGGCUUACCAAGGCAACGAUGCGUAGCCGACCUGAGAGGGUGAUAGGCCACACUGGAACUGAGACACGGUCAAGACUACUACGGGAGGCAGCAGUAGGGAAUCUUCCGCAAUGGGCGAAAGCCUGACGGAGCAACGCCGCGUGAGUGAUGAAGGUCUUCGGAUCGUAAAACUCUGUUAUGAGGGAAGAACAAAUGUGUAAGUAACUAUGCACGUCUUGACGGUACCUAAUCAGAAAGCCACGGCUAACUACGUG